AUGUCACAGCUUGGGAGGGACAUUAAAACCACCCAGUGUCACCCCUGCCAUGGCAGGGACACCUCCUACUGUCCCAGGCUGUUCCAAAAAACAUCCAGCCUGGCCUUGGACACUUCCAGGGAUCCAGGAGCAUCCACAGCUGCUCUGGGCACCUGUCCCAGCCCUCCCCACCCUCCCAGGGAACAAUCCCUGCCCAAUAUCCCAUCCAGCCCUGUCCUCUGGCAGUGGGAGCCCUUCCUCGUCCACAGUUCCUCUCCAGCAUCACAACCAUUUCUCUACAGCAAAGCAGAAUAUUUGGGUACCAGACUCAGCUCUCCCAAGUCUCCAAUGCCAGGAGCCCUGGCAGGACCCCCCUGUGCCCUGAGCCACCCUGGGUGUCCCAACCCCAGCCCCGCCACCUCUCCGGGGCUGCUCGGCUCCUUCCUGGCUUCAGCAGCGAAUGCACGAUUCCACCUCCCGGCCAAAAGCAAAGCACAGGAUAAAGGACACUUCAUCACGGUCUCAGCAGCCGCACACAACACAUCACACGGCACAGGAAUGUCGGGGCCCGGCGCUUCUCUAACGAAGCGAAGUAAAGUGGCAGCAUCAGCAGUGACACGCGUGGUGACAGAGGCUUCCCCCUCGGGGACUCCAGCAACCCGGACCCCUCUUUGGAUGAAAAUCCCACCCCAUGUAAACAACUCGUGUGGAAGGGGAGAAAGCAGCGCCCCCAGAGCCCCAGCUGGACGAGGAGAGCCCUUCCUUGGCCUCCCAGACUUUGGGGUGCGGGGCACCCCGGCUGCGCUCACCAUCCCCACAGCGCCAGCCCUGCCCCGCUCACGUUUUGGGGGGAGGGAAGGAGGGAACGGAUUCCCUGGGUGCCCCCAUCGCUGCGACAGCCCGAACAAGCCACACCUAAAGUGUUUUGUCACCCCCGCAGGUGCCCAAAGUGCUUGUGGAAGCGCAGGGACGCGGGGAGUGCCCGUGUCCCUCCUCCCGCACCCCCCCGGCCGGGGCUCGCCCCCCAUUAUUGCAUAG
This 1017-nucleotide long non-coding RNA is filed under the name Parus major (Great Tit). Its description in RNAcentral is "lncRNA (ENSPMJG00000012211.1)". Lineage: Eukaryota; Metazoa; Chordata; Aves; Passeriformes; Paridae. The record is from RNAcentral.